This 107-nucleotide ribosomal RNA is filed under the name Achromobacter mucicolens. The record is from RNAcentral. Lineage: Bacteria; Pseudomonadati; Pseudomonadota; Betaproteobacteria; Burkholderiales; Alcaligenaceae.
UGACGACCAUAGCAAGGUGGUCCCACUCCUUCCCAUCCCGAACAGGACAGUGAAACGCCUUUGCGCCGAUGAUAGUGGACGGACGUCUGUGAAAGUAGGUCAUCGUC